This 551-nucleotide ribosomal RNA is filed under the name uncultured Glomeromycotina. Its description in RNAcentral is "SSU rRNA". It matches the Rfam family "Eukaryotic small subunit ribosomal RNA", at positions 548 to 1098 of the family's 1831-position model. Lineage: Eukaryota; Fungi; Glomeromycota. The record is from RNAcentral.
UUGGAGGGCAAGUCUGGUGCCAGCAGCCGCGGUAAUUCCAGCUCCAAUAGCGUAUGUUAAAGUUGUUGCAGUUAAAAAGCUCGUAGUUGAAUUUCGGGAUUCAUCCGUUGGUCGGGCUUCACGGUCCGUACUGGUGUGAUGGGUUCCUACCUUCUGAAUAACCGGCAUGCCAUUAAUUUGGUGCGCCGGGGAAGCAGAACUAUUACCUUGAAAAAAUUAGAGUGCUUAAAGCAGGCAAGUGCCUGAAUAGGUUAGCAUGGAAUAAUAAAAUAGGACGGCAUGGUUCUAUUUUGUUGGUUUCUAGGAUCACCGUAAUGAUUAAUAGGGAUAGUUGGGGGCAUUAGUAUUCAAUUGUCAGAGGUGAAAUUCUUGGAUUUAUUGAAGACUAACUUCUGCGAAAGCAUUUGCCAAGGAUGUUUUCAUUAAUCAAGAACGAAAGUUAGGGGAUCGAAGACGAUCAGAUACCGUCGUAGUCUUAACCAUAAACUAUGCCGACUAGGGAUCGGACGAUGUUAAUUUUUUAAUGACUCGUUCGGCGCCUUACGGGAAAC